This 499-nucleotide ribosomal RNA is filed under the name uncultured bacterium. RNAcentral describes it as "bacterial SSU rRNA". It matches the Rfam family "Bacterial small subunit ribosomal RNA", at positions 8 to 507 of the family's 1533-position model. The record is from RNAcentral.
AGAGUUUGAUCCUGGCUCAGGAUGAACGCUAGCGGGAGGCCUAACACAUGCAAGCCGAGCGGUAUUGUUUCUUCGGAAAUGAGAGAGCGGCGUACGGGUGCGGAACACGUGUGCAACCUGCCUUUAUCUGGGGGAUAGCCUUUCGAAAGGAAGAUUAAUACUCCAUAAUAUAUUGAACGGCAUCGUUUAAUAUUGAAAGCUCCGGCGGAUAGAGAUGGGCACGCGCAAGAUUAGCUAGUUGGUGAGGUAACGGCUCACCAAGGCAAUGAUCUUUAGGGGCCUGAGAGGGUGAUCCCCCACACUGGUACUGAGACACGGACCAGACUCCUACGGGAGGCAGCAGUGAGGAAUAUUGGUCAAUGGGUGCAAGCCUGAACCAGCCAUCCCCGCGUGAAGGACGACUGCCCUAUGGGUUGUAAACUUCUUUUGUAUAGGGAUAAACCUACUCUCGUGAGGGUAGCUGAAGGUACUAUACGAAUAAGCACCGGCUAACUCCGUG